ACAAAAAUCAUUUCCUAAACCAUUUUAACUUCUCAAACUUGCAUCUUAUUUGCAGUUCUCUUUUCUCAAUUUUCUCUUCCCAAGUAUCAACAUAUAAAACAUGGGUUUUCAUUUACGUGGUAUCAGAAAGGCAUCCCUUCCUGCAAUCCAAGCCUUUUCAAAAGUUGUGAACGUGCCAAAGGGUUACAUUGCAGUCUAUGUUGGAGAUAAAAUGAAGCGGUUCAUGAUCCCUGUAUCAUACUUGAACCAACCUUCAUUUCAAGAUUUGUUGAGUCAAGCUGAGGAAGAAUUUGGGUAUGACCAUCCAAUGGGUGGUCUCACUAUUCCUUGUGGAGAAGAUGUGUUCUUAGAUAUCACUUCUCGUUUCAAUAGGUGCUAGUUGCAUGAAGAGACUGACUUAGAUGUAGACUCUACUUGACACAUUUUUGUAUCUUAGUUUCUGACCAUCAAAAUAUCUCCUCUCUCUCAAUUUUUGUUAUCUUGUUUAGGCAAGUGUAAAAAAAUGUUAAUCUGAAUGAGAAGUUUUCUACACGAUGUUUCUUCCCAAAUGUUCUAUGAAUCUGAUCUACAUAUCCCAUUUUCUCUUUUUCUAUCAAUCAGAUUUAAAUUAAACUAUUAACUCCACAUUUUCUUACAAAAUUAAUUAGAAAAACUACUUAGAAGAGAUAGAAAGAUAAGUUUAAAAUAAAAUGAGUGAUGUAACAGAGAAAUAAAGCUAAGCAUUGAUGAAAAUUAUAUGCUUUUGUUAACCUGAACUGCUUUGGUUUGACCUGGCUCCAAGUGAUUUGUGAACAUCUCUGGUCACUUGAAUAUUGCCUGACAGGAGAUUAAAUUCAUAAAAUUCUGUCACCAACCUAUGAAGGAGGCCCAAUUAGGCAGCAUCACCAUCUUUCCAAGAUGAAGUUUGUUGGUCUUACGGCCUCAAUAUAUGAUAUGCUGGUUUUUGGCUCAGUAAUUGAAUAGCAGUGGAGUUUGAGAGUGAUUUGUGUGUAACGUGUGGGGAGCUAACCGAAACAGUGAGCCACUUAUUUUAGUUGUAAAUAUGCAAUUCAAGUAUGGAAUUUGUGUAAUAAGUGGACUGGGAUAACCUCUGUUUCACAUAAUCAGGCAGAAAAGCACUUCAACCAUUUUUUUGUACUUUACAGCUUAACACCAAAGGUAACACAGUGUGGAAGUGCAUGUGGAUAGCAAUCAUAGAGGUAUAUGGAAUAUGAGAAACAGAAUUAUCUUAAAAAUGCAAGAGUGGAUGGGGAAGAAAUUUUUAAGUUGCCACAAAUUAAAGUGUGGGCAUGGGUGAUGUAUAGGUUCAAGAAGGCAACUUUUUCCUUUUCAGAUUGGAUUUUGUGCCCUUUAAUAUGCAUCAAGUAUAUUCAAUAAUCCUACAGUGGUAACUGUGUGCAGGUGAAUUUGAAAGACAAUAAUGCUUAAGGGUGUAAUAUAAUAUGGCUAUAGGUGGAGCCUUAAGAUCAUGACAAAAUAGGUGCACACACCUUGGUGGGAAGCAAAGGACCUUAGAGUGAACAUUAUGUAUAAGAGACGACCAUAGGUUCCCUGUGCAACAAUCUAAAUCAUGAGAUGGGUAGUUAAACAUAGCACAUUUGUAAACUUUUGGGGAUGACCAAACACCCUUAAGGGCAGGGGACUAUAUCUUCCAGUGGUUUGUUUUUUUAUUCUAGUAGUUGUGUUUUGCAGGUUAAGAAAAUCCACUAGGUCAUAGUGCAGUACCUUUGAUGCUAAGGAGAAAAAUAUCAAGAGCAGGUUGGGAAUACUCUGGAAAAGCUGCUAGAUAGGGGAGGUAACGUCUCCCAAGGGAACAGAGAAGAUAAUUGUAAGUGGGUUAGAGUACCUGCCAUUAUUGCCCCAUUUUGUAUUCUGUGAUCUUAAGAUGAUGCAAAGACAAGCAAUUGCCCUACUUUAUGUAUGGGGUAAAAUUGAGAAAGGAAAAUGGAAUAAAAAGUUAGGUUUUUCCCAAUGAAGAUUUUUAAGUGGGCGAAAUCACAUGGUGAUGGAUGGGAUGAAGUAAUUUCUACCUUUUCUUUUCUUUCUUUUCUAUUGUUUGUUUAACAAUUCAAACAACCAAAAUAAACAAUCUCAUCCUCUUACAAAAUGGAAACUGUGUUCCUAGAAUCCAUUUAUAGAUAAAAGAAACCUUACAUCAAAUACAUAUUAAAUUUCUAUAACAGGAGAUCUUAUCCAUUGAAAUGAAUGGGAACAACACAACAUAAUUUUAAGUCCAUUAUAACUGACUUGGCUAGGCCAAAAUCCGCUUGUGUAAAAACUUAAAAACCUUUCACAUCCGUUCUAAAGAAAUUGAUGCUUCUCCUCGGCCCUAUAAAAAUACUAAUAUCUCCGCCCCUUCCCUGCCUUGCCCAGAUUGCGAAGCACUUGGUUUUUUUAUGCUGUGGAACUUAUCAGAUUGCAAAGCACUUGGUUUUCUUAGGCUGUGGAACUUAUGAGAAUAUAUAGUGAUGUAUACCAUUCGAUGGCAGGGAGAAGUAAACAUUGUAAUAGAUAAGUAGAAAGACGUAGCAUUUGAAUUUGUUAUCAUUACUCAAAAAUUUGGUAGUAAUAGUUACAAGUUCGAGAAGAUGCCUAUUGUACAAAAUGUCUCUAAUAAUCUAUGUCAGUCUCCUAAAGUGAGAUCUAUUGUUCCUUGAAGAAAGAAAUUGUAUAUUGGAAGACAUCUUCACUGCAAGGAAUUGUGAUGCCACCCAUGGGAUGAUCAUAUCCAAACUCUUCCUCUGCUCGACUCAGUAAGUCUUGGAAUGAAGGUUGGUUCAAGUAUGAGAUGGGAAUCACAAACCGAUUUUGUUUCUCUCCAACGUACACGGCAAAAUAGCCCUUUGGUAUGUCUUCAGAUUUUGAAGUUGCUUGUCUUGCUGUGAAUGAUGCCCGUCGGAUGGCAGGUAAACGGAAACCCAUUUUUGGAGUUUGUUUGAAGGAAGAAGAACAAUCUCAAAUUUACAGAGAGUGAACCCAAAUUUUGAUGCUUGUGGCUUGUUUUGUUUUUGAAGGUAUAGGAUUGUGUAUAUAUAGCUGUUAAAAGAAGGAGGGCAUACAGAUGAGAUAUCGCGUGGUGUUGUCUUCAGUACUUCUAUGAAGCAGAAUGAAGGGUACAGGUGUGUAACCCCACCUUGUUCAACAACGGGCAACAUUAAGCCUCCACAUGUACCCAAUGAGACGUGGCUAAGUGAAGGCCUAAUUCUCUUCAUGCAUUAAUUGGUAAUAUAUAUUAUGUAAAACAUGUUUUGGACAUGUUUUCUUGACAUUAACUAAAGUUGAAGAACAGCUGGAUAGAUGAAAUUAUAAGGCAAUGGACAGCGAGAGAUGAUAGACCAUUAUAUUCAUGAGAUUUGAAAUCAUACGUCUAAUCUAUUUCAGGUGAAAUGGCUUGGGAUAGUGUACUAUCGACUGUAACAUCUCACAUUAAUCCCUAAGAAACACUUCCAAGGCAACACCAUGUGCCCUUUCUGUCUUAUCGGUCCCAUGACUCUUAUCCCAUAGCCUUCCACCCUCAAUCAUUCAAGUAGCCGACGAUAUCCUACAAAAACUUUCAUCUAUAUAUAUAUAUUCUAGGCUGCAAGCCUUUGGGACAACAAAAAUCAUUUCCUAAAGCAUUUUAACUUCACAAACUAGCAUCUUACUUGCAACUUUCUUCUUUUCUCAACUUUCUCUUCUCUUUCCAAGUAUCAACAUAUAAAACAUGGGCUUUCAUUUACGUGGUAUCAGAAAGGCAUCCCUUCCUGCAAUCCCAGCAUUUUCAAAAGUUCUGAACGUGCCAAAGGGUUACAUUGCAGUCUAUGUUGGAGAUAAAAUGAAGCGCUUCAUGAUCCCUGUAUCAUACUUGAACCAACCUUCAUUUCAAGAUUUGUUGAGUAAAGCUGAGGAAGAAUUUGGGUAUGAACAUCCAAUGGGUGGUCUCACUAUUCCUUGUGGAGAAGAUGUGUUCUUAGAUAUCACUUCUCGUUUCAAUAGGUGCUAAUUGCAUGAAGAUGAGACUGACUUAGAUGUAGACUAUACUUGACACAUUUUUGUAUCUUAGUUUCUUACCAUGAAAAUAUCUCCUCUCUGCAUUUUUGUUAUCUUGUUUUGGAAAGUGUAAAAAAUGUUAAUCUGAAUGAGAUGUUUACUACCUGAUGUUUCUUCUCACAUUUUCUAUGAAUCUGAUCUAUAUAUCACAUUUUCUCUUUAUCUAUCAAUCAGAUUUAAAUUAAACUAUUAUCUCCACAUUUUAUAACAAAAUUAGUUAUAAAAACUACUUACAAGAGAUACGAAGAUAAGUUUAAAAUAAAUGAGUGAUGUAACAGAGAAAUAAAGCGAAGCAUUUACGAAAAUUAUAAGCUUUUGUUAAC
RNAcentral lists this long non-coding RNA (4352 nucleotides) under Phaseolus vulgaris (common bean). Its description in RNAcentral is "long non-coding RNA (PVUL_LNC000055)". Lineage: Eukaryota; Viridiplantae; Streptophyta; Magnoliopsida; Fabales; Fabaceae. The record is from RNAcentral.